GACGACGGUGGCCGAUAGUGAUCCUAUCCCUUGGCACUGCGCACCGCGCUCCCGGAGCUGUGCGCCUGCGCAUUGUGCUGGUCUCCAUGGCGGGGCCUCGGAGCCAAGACGAGAAAGCAACGCCACUGUGAAGACACAGCUGUAGCUCUUGCAUAAAAGAAGCUACAACUAUCAUGAUUUAAUGCCCCCAAAAGGAGGAACUUCAAUGGAUAAGAAGGGGCAUUUCUGGGGGCAGUAGAAUGUUGAAGGCCGGCCAUUUAGACUUGAGCCACUGCCUGAAGGUAUGGUGAAGCCGACAGAUCAGGAGAGGAAUGCUAUUGGAAAGAUAGUUUGCUCAUCACAGUUCCUAGGAGGAGGGGAGCAUGCCGCCCAGUACAGGGCCAUUCAAAAGAACACCAAGCUAUUAAAUAGAAGAAAAUGGAAUUGAGUAAGAUGUCAGCAUGGAACAGUGUAAUGAUGCAUUACAAGUCAACCAUAAUGAUGUUGAAGAUUCAAAAACAGAUGCUCAAGAAUUUGAGCAUCUAACCUGUAUGGACUCUGGGGAUACUUCCUUUGGACAAAAUGAUUCUCCUGCAGUUUUGCCCAUCCCUACUCCUGAGGCAAAUAAUUCACCUACAUCACAGAAUAUCGCAGGGCCUCUGACUCAGACGCAGACUCUUUCUACAGAGCAGUUCCAUCUAGUGGACCAAAAUGGCCAACCUAUUCAAUACGAACUUCAGACACUGGGGGAUUCUAAUGCACAAAUGAUGCUUGUUGCCAGCACAUCAGAAAAUGGACAGGUGCUUCGCGUGAUUCCAUCCGCCCAGACAGGAAUGACGCAAAUGAUGAUACCGCAGAGGCAGCUUGCAGACGUCAGCAGUCCUCAGGAUGUCCCUGAAGAGAAACCCAGUGACAGAAACUUACCAGCUGUAAGAGUGGAUGCUCCAGCAGAUGAUACUAGUAGUUUGAUUCUUCCUCCACAAGCAACCCUCACGUUGCCCAAAAAGUCAGUGGCCAGAAUGCUUGAAGAACCUUUUUUGGCUCCUCUUCAGCCACUUUCUUCUAAUACACCUAUCUGGGCCUGCCGCCUUAGGAGCUGUGAGAAAAUUGGAGAUUCAUACCGUGGCUACUGUGUAAGUGAGACUGAAUUAGAAAGUGUCCUAACAUUCCACAAGCAGCAGACUCAGAGUGUUUGGGGGACCCGCCAGUCUCCAAGCCCAGCGAAGCCAGCCACUCGCCUGAUGUGGAAAUCUCAGUAUGUCCCGUAUGAUGGAAUCCCAUUUGUCAAUGCAGGGAGUAGAGCUGUGGUGAUGGAGUGUCAGUAUGGGCCAAGGAGAAAAGGUUUCCAGUUGAAAAAAAUCAGUGAGCAGGAAAGCAGGUCCUGUCAGCUCUACAAAGCCACUUGUCCAGCCCGGAUUUACAUUAAAAAGGUACAGAAGUUUCCUGAAUACAGAGUUCCUACAGACCCUAAAAUUGAUAAGAAAAUAAUCAGAAUGGAGCAGGAGAAAGCCUUUAACAUGCUAAAGAAGAACAUGGUAGAUGCUGGUGGUGUUCUAAGGUGGUAUGUACAGUUACCUACCCAGCAAGCCCAUCAGUAUCAUGAAUUUGAGGCUCCCUGCCUCCCCUUGUCGCCUUCCCCUUUUCCCAUGUCUUCUCUUGAAGAACAGGAAGCUGCAGUUAGAGAUGAGAACUGCGCAUUACCCUCCCGUCUACAUCCUCAAGUAGCACAUAAAAUUCAAGAAUUAGUGUCACAGGGAAUAGAACAAGUAUAUGCAGUAAGGAAACAACUAAGAAAAUUUGUGGAAAGGGAACUGUUCAAACCUGAUGAGAUACCUGAAAGACAUAAUUUAUCUUUUUUUCCAACUGUAAAUGAUAUAAAAAAUCACAUCCAUGAAGUACAGAAAUCCUUGGGAAAUGGAGACAUGGUAUUUAAUUCAGACAUCAUUCCAGCAACGCUUCAGUGGACUACUGAUAGUGGGAAUAUUCUCCGAGAGACUGUGACAGUUACAUUUGCAGAAGGAAAUUCAUCAGGAGAAUCAAUUACCACCAAAGUGGAAACAAAUCAGACAGGGGGUUCUUUGUCUCCAGAUCCAACCCAGUUGCUUUCCUCACUUUCCUCAUUUCAGCCCAAAUUAUUUACACAACUACAGUUACAGCCAAGAUUCGCCUCUCCUGACACAUCACCAGCUCUGCUACCAGUAGAUAAUCAUCCAUCCUCCAGUCCGUCAAGACUCCUGGAUUCAAUAGGAAGUGCUGUAAUGAAUAAUAAUUCUCUCCUGCUUGGUCAAAGUCACAGCCUUCAAACAGAUACAUGCCUAACCCCAGACAAUAGUACUGCCUCUACCAUUGCUAACCUCCCAGAACCCAAUCAAAAUCUAGUUGAAGUCGAUCAACUAGCUGAAGUUGAAGAUGCUGAAGGUACAGGAAAUCUGGAAGAAAGUGUUCAUCAGAUUCUCUUGGAAGAUGUGCAGACCCUCCCAAUACGGAUUAUGGACAACCACCCAGCUCUUAUUGAAGAAAAUACUGAAGGUACUGUUUCUGUGAGCCAAGUAAAGCAAGAACCCAAAGAACCAACAUUGUCCGUGGAAGCAAAAAAGAAAUUGGACUGUAAGAUAUUAUCUACCAUAUAAAUUAUUGAAGUUUUUCAGGAUUUACAACUCUGGUGACUUCUGAUGUCCUAGCAAAGAAGGUGAAUAUUGUCAAAGCUCAGCGUUGUGUUAACUGGACUGAAGACUGGUUUGAUGAUCAGCUUUGAUUAAAAACUGAGUAUUUGUUGCCAAUUCCAUAUUUUUACCUUCUUUACAAGAUAUUUAACUCUUCUUAUUUUGUAUAAUUCUAAUGUUUUUUGAUUAUUUAAAAAGGUUGUUAGUUCAAAAGAUCAUAUGAGUUUAUGCUUAAUGAUACAGUCUGAACUCAGAUAGUUAAUCUAACUCAUCCCUGGAACUUAGAAGACAAAGAACAACAAAACUGUGUGUGAGUGUGUGUGUGUGUGAAGUCCUGGAAAAAUUUCUUAUCUCCUUAAGGUUGUGAAGAAAAUUCUAAUUGGCAGACAAGUGAGAGAAUAUUUGUAGUCUGCCUCAUUUAGAAAGAUAAAGCAAUAGGUUUUAUAUCACAACAUAAAGCCCCCAAUCACGUCUGUGGGAACCAUGCAGUUGCAUUUUGGCCUCUUCCCUUCUGAUUUCAGUGACAUACUAAAGGUCAUCUAAUAGAAGUUUAAAAUGUAUUGGUAAGUGCUGAAAAAUUUUAAUAUGAAUUACUCAGAUGAGCAACAGAAAUCAGUAUGUAGCAUGAAUUUAUACUGUAUUGGAGGUAAAACGCUUUUUGCAUAGAAAGAUGUAGAAAUUGAAAGAAUUUGGAAAUAAUAACAGAAUUCCCUGAUGUUUACAGAUAAUUUGGGCAACUUUUUGAUGACAGCAGAGGAUUUGUUUCCCUUUUUUGUAUUGAAGAUUCAUCUCCAAUUAGAAAAGAAUUUGAGUUAUAUUUACAUUUUUCUAUACCAGAGUUCUUACUGAAUUGAUAAUAUUAGGAUUUAUAGUAUUUCAAGGUAAGUAUUUAUAGUUUAAAAUUUAGUUCUUAUUUAAAAUUUUAUGAGAUCUAAUCUGAUAUGUUUGCUUGUGAAAUAAUUGUAUAUUCAAAUACAAUUAAGCAUAUUCAUUAUAAGCUUCUGUUUUCUGGAAGAUUAGUAAACAAGAAAUAUGAAGUAUAACUAUCAAGAAAUCAACCUAAAGGCUUUUGUUUUUCCAGAGACCAUAUGUGGGUAUGUUUUAAAUUUUAUUAAAAAAAAGAUUUCAAAUAGCAGUUAAUGUUUAAUAUUCAAAGCAUAUGUAAUACAAUGUGAAAUGUCACCUUAGUGCUUUAUAUGAAUAUGAGUCACUCUUGUCCUUUCUAAAGAAGUCCAAUAUCCCACUCCUUAUUUACUUUAAUUGUUUUAGGUAUAAAAUGUGUAUGUAAAUGUAAGGCACUGUUAUAUUAGAAAUAAGUGGAUUUAUACCCUGCUCUUUAGAUUUGUAUCCUAUUUAAUAUAAAUUUAAUUAUUUAUAUCCUAUUUAAUGCAAAGUUAAUAGUUAUGUUAUUUUUAUUAAGAAUUGCUUUUAUUUUUCCUAAGUAAAAAUACUUGAUGUAAGUGCAUUUAUAGGGACAAGCUGCUGAAUUUGAUUGUGUUAUGCUGAGUUCAACACAACACUUAGUUACCUCAAACCCAGAUUUUACUCAGUUUGUAUGUUCUCAAAACAAGUCCAACUUAAUUUAUAGUUUAGUGCUGCAAUAUAGAUAAUAUUCUUCUCUUAUUUCUGCUUUUAAUGGAAACUUUUUCAAAAGUUUAAAUAAUAGAUCUUUACUUUUCAAUAUUGGUAAUGGUUUAUUAUUAUAUAUUUCACCAAUUUAACUAUGUUCUUUUGGAGACAUUCCUUUUAUUUAUUUAUUUUUUGAUGUUGAGUUGCUAAGGAGAAAUGCUUACUAAAUGAAUUUUAGUAAGUUACCUAUGAGAAUGAGAGCUGUCAGAGGAUUCAGACUCUAGUACUUGAUCAAAACAUAUUCAGAAAAUAUUUUUCUCAAUUAUUUGUGAAUGUCUCUUCUGAUACUGAUUUUUAAUCAUGAGGACAGAAAGUUAAAGCACAUCUUUCCUGCAAAAAAAAAAAAAAAAAGAAAGAAAAAAUACAAAAACCAAGAGCAUGAAGGAAGAUAUAAAUCCCUAAUUAUAUACUCUUUUGGUUUUUAGGUAGAAACUGGAACUAUCAGUAUUUCAUGUUAUUUUGGAGGUAUUUUAAAGGAGCCAGCGUUUGAUGAUCUUAGAGGUCUCAUCAGAUUCUGAUCAAGACCUAAGACCUUGAGGUUGGAAACCAUGUGCUUUUCCGAGGCCUUUGAGCCUCCCUCACAGGUCUGUCCAGUGACUGUGAUGAGGUGGAUGAAAAUGAGUGGAAGCUUAGGUGUUCAGGAGAUUUCUCUUCAAACUGGUAUCUUUUGAGAAAACACCUCGGGUCAUUUAUGAAAAUAUUUUUAGAACUCCUUCCAUGUUAUUUUGUCCAUAAAUUUGUAGUUCUAGUGGUGGGAUAAUGGAGGUCCCCAAGAACCAAGGUGCACAGGAUUUGAUUGGCUGUUGCCAGCCAGCCUCAGAUGUCUUUAUGAACUCUUUGGGCUAGUUUCCUAUGUCUUAUCUGUGUUUGUACUGGAAUCAGAUUGUGUCUUCCUAACUUUCUAAAUGAUAUGAAGAUUAUUUGGAAUUACAUACUUUAUUUGGGGGAACUUUUGGGAGGCAACUUGAAGCAAAAGGAAGCCAAAAUCCCAAACGUCUUGUCAACAUUUUAGACAAAGAAGAAACUUUCAAAAUACAUUUAGAUUAUGAUAUGACCUCUAAAAGAUUUGGCUAAGACAAAAGAAAAAUGUGAAAAAUCUAAAACUAUUUUUUAGAUCCCUCCAGGUCAGUUUGAAUAUAAUGUUCUUCAUCCUUGAAUUCUGCUUCCCCAUUUUAUGUUCUGCCAUUUCCUUCUGCCCCGUUGCACCUUCCUAAUUCUUGUUUUCAAAACACCUCAGGAGGAAGUAGUUCUGGUUGUCUGAAAGAGAAAGAUUCCUUUGUUUAAUGUAGAAGACACCCUCCCCCCUCCUCAAUCCCAUACUUCCAUUAUUAAUAAUUCCUGCUUUUUUUUUAAUUUUUUAUUUUUUGACAGGCAGAGUGGACAGUGAGAGAGAGAGACAGAGAGCAAGGUCUUCCUUUGCCGAUGGUUCACCCUCCAAUGGCCGCCGCGGUCGACGCGCUGCGGUGGGCGCACCGCGCUGAUCCGAUGGCAGGAGCCAGGAGCCAGGUGCUUUUCCUGGUCUCCCAUGGGGUGCAGGGCCCAAGUACCUGGGCCAUCCUCCACUGCACUCCCUGGCCACAGCAGAGGGCUGGCCUGGAAGAGGGGCAACCGGGACAGAAUCCGGCACCCCGACCGGGACUAGAACCUGGUGUGCCGGUGCCGCUAGGCGGAGGAUUAGCCUAGUGAGCCGCGGCGCCGGCAAUAAUUCCUGCUUUUUAAUAGCACAAAAUCAAGUUGUCAAGAGCCUGGGUUAGUGUUUAAGCCUGUUGUAUUAGUUAUGUUUUGUUUGUUGACAUGCACACAAAAUAGGUUUUCCCGGGGGCUGGCUUUGUGGCACAGCAGUUUAAGCCACCACUUGCAGGGUCAGCAUCCUGAGGGUUCAGGUCCCAGGUACUGUGCUUCCUAUCUGGCUCCCCGCUAAUGCACCUGGAAAGCAACAGAAGAUGGCUGAAAACCCUGGACUCCUUCCACCCAUAUGGAGACCAGGAUGGAGUUCCAGGCUCCUGAAUUCCACGUGGCCCAACCCUGGCCAUUGUGGCCAUUUAGGCAGUGAACCAGCAUAUACAAGAUCUCUUUCUAUCUCGUCUUUUCCUUUCUUUUGGUCACUCUGUCUUUCAAAUAAAUCUUUUUAAAAAUAUAGGUUUUCCUGAAUCUUAACUUUUCUCUCUCUGUAAUUAAGAAAAGAUAAUUUAUCUUUUAUAGUGUUAAUUUUUUUAUUUGACUGAAGCUGGCUCAUUCUCAUUUUUUCUUUCUGUCCCUUUUUGCCCUGUCUUGGGAGACUUUAAAGAUUAAUUGUCAAAAACAGUUAUUUUGUUAUAAUGUAUUUGUUCUAAGAAUCUCUGAUAAAGAAUUCCUAAAAUAUAAAGAAAGAUUAUUGAACUGCUUUUUAAAAAUGUUUCUGGUUAAAACUGUAGGAAAUGAAGAAAAUGCCUUGAUUCCAAGAUAAAGGGGUUUAAUUUAUUCCAUUUAUGUAAGAGUUAGAGAGAGAGAGAGAUGCAUAUACACAUAUAGACAUACAGAGAGCUCCUGUCUGUAGGUUCACUCCACAAAUCCCUGCAGCAAGCCAGGGAUGGGCCAGAAAUGAAGCUGGCACCUGGGAACUUGAUCCAGGUCUCCCACAUGAGUGGCAGGAGCCCAGUUACUUGAGCCAUCACCACUGCCUCAAAAAGUCUUCCCUAGUUGGAAGGUGAAGUCAGAACUCAGAGCCAGGAAUUGAACCAAGGUACUUCAAUGUGGGAUGCAAUCUGUCUUUACCACAGACUAAAUGUUUGCCCCAAUAAAGCGGUUUUUUUGUUUUGUUA
Non-coding RNA from Oryctolagus cuniculus (rabbit), 7072 nucleotides. Lineage: Eukaryota; Metazoa; Chordata; Mammalia; Lagomorpha; Leporidae. The record is from RefSeq and is a predicted model, not a curated record.